GUGUUUGAGAAAGUACCCUUAAACACACAGAAAAAUGGGGUUGGACUUCCUUCCUGGUGUUGGAGAGAGGAGCUUGUUCAGCCCAGUCUGAUGUGGUGUGCUGCCUCUUCUUGGUUCAGCCCGAAGAUUCAGACCCAAUCACUUCUUAAGGAAAGACUGGAAACAAUGUUGGAAGCCACCUAUUGGAGAAUGAUUGAGAAAAUUAUAUUAUCCAUGAGCCAAUGGUGUAUUCAUAAAUUCCUGGAAGAUGGUCUAUUAUCCUUGAAGAAUGCAAGUGAAUUCCAGAGAGUCUGUUUUAUUAUCUCUGCAACAUUGUCUAUGAUUCAAGAAAAUCUAGUCUGAUAUUGCUGUGACAUUAAUUCCCUACUCAGAUGACACUGCCAAUGACACUAUUUUCCAUAGUGACAAUAUGGAAGAAAAGAUUAUUGCUAGAAUUGCUUUCUGAAUUUCUAGUCAAUUGUAAAUAUUAAAAAUUAAUUUGCCAUACUCCAAGUAUUAUAUUUAAUUAAUAAUAAAACUUGAAGCAAAGGAAAACA
RNAcentral lists this long non-coding RNA (536 nucleotides) under Monodelphis domestica (gray short-tailed opossum). RNAcentral's name for it is "lncRNA (ENSMODG00000043021.1)". Lineage: Eukaryota; Metazoa; Chordata; Mammalia; Didelphimorphia; Didelphidae. The record is from RNAcentral.